UCACUUUGGCAGUGCAUAUAUUAAAACUGGAACGAUACAGAGAAGAUUAGUGUGGCCGCUGUGCAAGAUGACAUGAGAAUUCGUGAAGUGUUCCACAUUGUU
Molecule: small nuclear RNA, 102 nt
Organism: Herpailurus yagouaroundi (jaguarundi)
Lineage: Eukaryota; Metazoa; Chordata; Mammalia; Carnivora; Felidae
Source: RefSeq, a predicted model, not a curated record